AAGAUUGGAAUAGUGCUCGGUAAGCAGGUUUGGAAGAGAUCUGUGAUCAUCGGCUUGUUUUCGGAUCUAAUAAAGCCUCAAGUUCAAUGGAUCGGACUUGGCGUCAGUACGGAUCUAUGAAUCAAUUGAACAUCGUAUGAAUAAUAAACAAAUCCCUAAUUCACAACGAAAACACGAUAGUUACAUGUACAAAUCAAUAGGAUGUGAUGAAAUGUUGAUAUUGAUGGAUUUGGAAA
RNAcentral lists this long non-coding RNA (236 nucleotides) under Panax ginseng (ginseng). RNAcentral describes it as "long non-coding RNA (PGIN_LNC018644)". The record is from RNAcentral. Lineage: Eukaryota; Viridiplantae; Streptophyta; Magnoliopsida; Apiales; Araliaceae.